CUACGGGCUGCAGCAGUGGGGAAUAUUGCACAAUGGGCGCAAGCCUGAUGCAGCCAUGCCGCGUGUAUGAAGAAGGCCUUCGGGUUGUAAAGUACUUUCAGCGGGGAGGAAGGGAGUAAAGUUAAUACCUUUGCUCAUUGACGUUACCCGCAGAAGAAGCACCGGCAACUCCGUGCCAGCAGCCGCGGUAAUACGGAGGGUGCAAGCGUUAAUCGGAAUUACUGGGCGUAAAGCGCACGCAGGCGGUUUGUUAAGUCAGAUGUGAAAUCCCCGGGCUCAACCUGGGAACUGCAUCUGAUACUGGCAAGCUUGAGUCUCGUAGAGGGGGGUAGAAUUCCAGGUGUAGCGGUGAAAUGCGUAGAGAUCUGGAGGAAUACCGGUGGCGAAGGCGGCCCCCUGGACGAAGACUGACGCUCAGGUGCGAAAGCGUGGGGAGCAAACAGGAUUAGAUACCCCAGUAGUC
This 463-nucleotide ribosomal RNA is filed under the name uncultured bacterium. RNAcentral's name for it is "partial 16S ribosomal RNA". It matches the Rfam family "Bacterial small subunit ribosomal RNA", at positions 339 to 795 of the family's 1533-position model. The record is from RNAcentral.